RNAcentral lists this ribosomal RNA (580 nucleotides) under uncultured Basidiomycota. RNAcentral describes it as "eukaryotic LSU rRNA". It matches the Rfam family "Eukaryotic large subunit ribosomal RNA", at positions 52 to 652 of the family's 3401-position model. The record is from RNAcentral. Lineage: Eukaryota; Fungi; Basidiomycota.
GGAGGAAAAGAAACUAACAAGGAUUCCCCCAGUAACGGCGAGUGAAGUGGGAAGAGCUCAAAUUUUGAAUCUGGCAGCCUCGCUGUCCGAGUUGUAAUCUCUAGAAGUGUUUUCCGCGCUGGCCCGUGUAUAAGUCUGUUGGAAUACGGCGUCAUAGAGGGUGAGAAUCCCGUCCUUGACACGGACAACCAGUGCCUUGUGAUACACUCUCGAAGAGUCGAGUUGUUUGGGAAUGCAGCUCAAAAUGGGUGGUAAAUUCCAUCUAAAGCUAAAUAUUGGCGAGAGACCGAUAGCGAACAAGUACCGUGAGGGAAAGAUGAAAAGCACUUUGGAAAGAGAGUUAAACAGUACGUGAAAUUGUUGAAAGGGAAACGCUUGAAGUCAGACGUGCGGGCGGAACUCAGCCUUCCUUCGGGUCGGUGUAUUUUCCGUCAUGCAGGCCAGCAUCGGUUUCGGGCGCCGGAUAAGGGUCGGGGGAAUGUGGCUGCUCCGGCAGUGUUAUAGCCCCCGACUUGAUACGGCGCCCGGGACCGAGGGACGCAUUUUUAGGAUGCUGGCAUAAUGGCUUUAAACGACCCGU